This 458-nucleotide long non-coding RNA is filed under the name Monodelphis domestica (gray short-tailed opossum). RNAcentral's name for it is "lncRNA (ENSMODG00000044516.1)". Lineage: Eukaryota; Metazoa; Chordata; Mammalia; Didelphimorphia; Didelphidae. The record is from RNAcentral.
GGGCCGGAAAGGAACUUAACCCAUCGUUGCUGGGGGCUGUCGCUCCUUACCGGGCCGUCGCGCCUUACAAAGAGGAAUGAUUGUUGGUUUUUUUUUUUUUUAAUGAAUGGAGGGCGGCGGCAAGCAGCAGCUGCAGCUGGAUCAGCUGCGCGUGCUGUACCCCACCCGGCCUGGGAAAGAAGGGGAACCUGGCAGAGCUGGAUGUCCCUGCCUGUUGUUGUGGCUGUUACUGAUGGAUGAUGCAGAUGAUGAAGAUUUCACUUCAAGUCUCAACACGGUGUUCCAGCAUGGGAUGCAGCAAGGUGAUAAGUGCCCUGAAUUCUUUUUGGAGGAAGAAAAAAAAUACACAAUUGAAGCAGCAAUUUGUAUUCUUUCCUUUUAGAAAGGUAGAAACAGGCUUGAAUCUGCAAGGAAGCUGGUAAGUUGUUUUUUAAAAAUUUAUUUAUGUAUCACUCUGA